Molecule: long non-coding RNA, 477 nt
Organism: Talpa occidentalis (Iberian mole)
Lineage: Eukaryota; Metazoa; Chordata; Mammalia; Eulipotyphla; Talpidae
Exons: 3
Source: RefSeq, a predicted model, not a curated record
UCCCACGUUAGUUAAUACUCUCUGUUCAUGUCAUGAAGCCCAGUUUUCCUACAUACUGCUGUCAUCUGUGCUUCAAUAAAGGGAGUGACCUCAAUCUAGUCUUAUACUACUGGACCAGUUCCUCUGUGGCAAGUGGUUUUGGAGGAAGAACUAUGUCUUUAAUACAGGGGCUAGUCUCUUGGAAACAGAGUUAAAUUUUAAAUGAAUUAAUGAUAGAUGCACAAAGAUAUAUGAUUAAAGUAUAAUAAAGAGACAAUUCUAAGCAUAUGAAGUUAGAUGCUGAGAGUAAAACAAUGAGGUAAUAUGUGUGACAGUAUCACAGGUUCUGUUCCACUCAUAGGCCUUACACUGUGUGGUUGAAGACUUAGGCCACAGAGCAAUAUUGGUCCAGGAUCUAGAAAUCUUAGAGCACAAGAAGCAACAAGGGAUUUUACUCAGAAGUAAUGUUUUCACAUUGAAUUAUAACUAUUGUCACCA